AGCAGCCGCGGUAAUUCCAGCUCCAAUAGCGUAUAUUAAAGUUGUUGCAGUUAAAAAGCUCGUAGUUGAAUUUUGGAUUCUUCCAAUUGGUCCAUCCUUUAGAUGAGUACUGGUUGUGUGGGGUCUAUCCGCCUGGUAAUACGUAAUGUCCUUUAUUGGAUGUUGCGGGUAGUCAGGACCUUUACCUUGAAAAAAUUAGAGUGUUUAAAGCAGGCUUAUGCCGGAAUACAUUAGCAUGGAAUAAUAGAAUAGGACGAAGUUGUUUUAUUUUGUUGGUUUCUAGGACAACCGUAAUGAUUAAUAGGGAUAGUUGGGGGCAUUAGUAUUCAAUUGUCAGAGGUGAAAUUCUUGGAUUUAUUGAAGACUAACUACUGCGAAAGCAUUUGCCAAGGAUGUUUUCAUUAAUCAAGAACGAAAGUUAGGGGAUCGAAGACGAUCAGAUACCGUCGUAGUCUUAACCAUAAACUAUGCCGACUAGGGAUCGGGCGAUGUUGUUUCCAUGACUCGCUCGGCACCUUAUGG
This 522-nucleotide ribosomal RNA is filed under the name uncultured Archaeospora. RNAcentral's name for it is "SSU rRNA". It matches the Rfam family "Eukaryotic small subunit ribosomal RNA", at positions 569 to 1093 of the family's 1831-position model. The record is from RNAcentral. Lineage: Eukaryota; Fungi; Glomeromycota; Glomeromycetes; Archaeosporales; Archaeosporaceae.